GCGAAGUGCGGGCCAGUAGAGGAGGUAAGACGAACCGGACAAAAGUUAUUCGGAAUCACGGGGGUUACAGAGUUCGUAGGAGGGCUGGGAAGUUGGGUGUGAAAUCCCUCGGCUCAACCGAGGAACUGAGCGUGAAACUACCAGACUCGAGGGAGAUAGAGGAAAGCGGAACUGAUGGUGGAGCGGUGAAAUGCGUUGAUAUCAUCAGGAACACCGGUGGCGAAGGCGGCUUUCUGGGUCUUACCUGACGCUGAGGAACGAAAGCCAGGGGAGCGAACGGGAUUAGAUACCCUGGUAGUC
RNAcentral lists this ribosomal RNA (300 nucleotides) under uncultured Desulfovirgula sp. RNAcentral describes it as "bacterial SSU rRNA". It matches the Rfam family "Bacterial small subunit ribosomal RNA", at positions 496 to 795 of the family's 1533-position model. The record is from RNAcentral. Lineage: Bacteria; Bacillati; Bacillota; Clostridia; Thermoanaerobacterales; Thermoanaerobacteraceae.